CACGUAGGGGGCGAGCGUUGUCCGGAAUCAUUGGGCGUAAAGCGCGCGUAGGCGGCUCGGAAAGUCGGGUGUGAAAGCCCGGGGCUCAACCCCGGGACUGCAUACGAUACUGGAGGGCUUGAGGUAGGUAGGGGAGAUCGGAAUUCCUGGUGUAGCGGUGAAAUGCGCAGAUAUCAGGAGGAACACCGGUGGCGAAGGCGGUGCUCUGGGCCGUUCCUGACGCUGAGGUGCGAAAGCUAGGGGAGCGAACAGG
This 253-nucleotide ribosomal RNA is filed under the name uncultured bacterium. Its description in RNAcentral is "partial 16S ribosomal RNA". It matches the Rfam family "Bacterial small subunit ribosomal RNA", at positions 524 to 776 of the family's 1533-position model. The record is from RNAcentral.